This 910-nucleotide ribosomal RNA is filed under the name uncultured Bacteroidota bacterium. RNAcentral describes it as "bacterial SSU rRNA". It matches the Rfam family "Bacterial small subunit ribosomal RNA", at positions 12 to 916 of the family's 1533-position model. Lineage: Bacteria; Pseudomonadati; Bacteroidota. The record is from RNAcentral.
UUUGAUCCUGGCUCAGGAUGAACGCUAGCUACAGGCUUAACCAUGCAAGUCGAGGGGCAGCGGGAUUGAAGCUUGCUUCAAUUGCCGGCGACCGGCGCACGGGUGAGUAACGCGUAUCCAACCUUCCGUACACUCAGGGAUAGCCUUUCGAAAGAAAGAUUAAUACCUGAUGGUAUCUUAAGCACACAUGUAAUUAAGAUUAAAGAUUUAUCGGUGUACGAUGGGGAUGCGUUCCAUUAGGUAGUAGGCGGGGUAACGGCCCACCUAGCCUACGAUGGAUAGGGGUUCUGAGAGGAAGGUCCCCCACAUUGGAACUGAGACACGGUCCAAACUCCUACGGGAGGCAGCAGUGAGGAAUAUUGGUCAAUGGACGAGAGUCUGAACCAGCCAAGUAGCGUGAAGGAUGAAGGUCCUCGGAUUGUAAACUUCUUUUAUAAGGGAAUAAACCCUCCCACGUGUGGGAGCUUGUAUGUACCUUAUGAAUAAGCAUCGGCUAACUCCGUGCCAGCAGCCGCGGUAAUACGGAGGAUGCGAGCGUUAUCCGGAUUUAUUGGGUUUAAAGGGAGCGCAAACGGGUCGUUAAGUCAGCUGUGAAAGUUUGGGGCUCAACCUUAAAAUUGCAGUUGAUACUGGCGUCCUUGAGUGCGGUUGAGGUGUGCGGAAUUCGUGGUGUAGCGGUGAAAUGCUUAGAUAUCACGAAGAACUCCGAUUGCGAAGGCAGCACACUAAGCCGUAACUGACGUUCAUGCUCGAAAGUGUGGGUAUCAAACAGGAUUAGAUACCCUGGUAGUCCACACGGUAAACGAUGGAUACUCGCUGUUGGCGAUAUACUGUCAGCGGCUUAGCGAAAGCGUUAAGUAUCCCACCUGGGGAGUACGCCGGCAACGGUGAAACUCAAAGGAAUUGACGG